RNAcentral lists this long non-coding RNA (1461 nucleotides) under Phasianus colchicus (ring-necked pheasant). RNAcentral describes it as "lncRNA (ENSPCLG00000002805.1)". The record is from RNAcentral. Lineage: Eukaryota; Metazoa; Chordata; Aves; Galliformes; Phasianidae.
UAUGUAUGUAUGUAGAUAUAUAUAUGCACACAUAUUUUCCAAGCUUGAGAGAAAAUGUUUUGCAUUUGCAGCCUUUGAGAGAUCUAUUUUUUCUAUUGAGAAUAAGAGUGAAAUGUUACAUGAGUGCUGGAGAUGCACCUUCAAGCCAAGAAAAUAUUGGGUGCUAAUGGACUCUUCAAGAAGCAAUCUGGGAUCUGAGAACUGAAAGAAGAAAAAAAUGAUUUGGAAUAGUGAGUGUGAUUUGCAGUGCAGAAGUAAAGAGGAACAGGAGGAAGACAUGAUGUAUGCUGACCCUCUGCAUCACCAGGAGAUGCUCUGUCAAAGUGUUCAACUUUUCCUUCUGAUCCUGACACGUUCCUGGUCGUCACAAGAAGCAAUGAUUGUUCUGAACACAGUGCUGCAGUGGGCAGCAGAGCAUCCAUCUGAAAGGGAAAGACGAGACUUUUUAUAUCUUUUCUAGCUGACAUGUCUGAGGCUGCUGCAAGAGGAAUUGUGGUGCAGUAAAGAUGUGUGAGAUGAACUGAUGGGAAGCUUGGGGAUGCAGGCAGGCUCCAGCUGGAGCAAGACUUCUACACAGAGAUCAAACUGUUCUGGCAGAUAAUUUAUUACCUUUCUCAAACAAAUCAGGUUGGCCUAAGGGUCAUUAAUGUUUAUAGUGAAGUCCUAUUUAAGCAAAUAUAAACCUUAUGCUCAGCAGAGAUCACAUUAAAAAAGAAAAUAAUCACAUACAUUGUCUUUCUUGUGCUUGCCUCUGCCUCCGAUUUCGUGAUGCCAAUAUUAAUUGACUAACAGCAACAGAAAUUGCAUUGAAUGUUGGAGAAACAUUGGGGCCAAGCAGGGCUGUCAUCCACAGCAAGCACAGCCCCUGUACAGCAAGCUGUGGGGCCCAGCUCUCCACUGGCUUGUGUUUGGAGUGUCAUUUCUGUCUGUACAAGAAUGAUGUGAAAUCAGGAGGAUGCCUUUCACCUUCCUACAAAUGGCUUCUCAAGGUGUCUGUGCUCCUCUGUGCGAAAGCAAGCGCUCCCAUGCAUUGAGAGCUUCUCUCGAUACUAAGAAAAUGGCCAGAGAAGGACAAAAGUAAGGGAUCUAGGCCAUGGUUUGGUCCACAUGUCCACACAUGGGGGUGCUGCCCUAUACAAACCACCACACAUACAUCCUUUGUAAAGAAAGGAACACAAAACGGCAGCUGUGAGACAGGGGGAGGACUUGUCAUCAUUAAAACAUGCAGAAAAAUCAAAAUACGCUUGCUACCUAGGCCAUCAGUGUAAAAUAUUGUUGUGCAGCUCAUGUUAAUCACAGGGGAAAACAUGCUGAAAUUGCUCAGAUUUUUACAAUUUGCUUUUUGAGAUGCAACAAUUUCUCCUCAGUAUCCUGACCUGCCAUAUUGGUUGCUUCAUACUUAAUGCUCACUCAUGCAGGCCAGCCAGAAAUAAAGUAUUUCCACAGAUUAAAACUGCCUCA